Molecule: ribosomal RNA, 1412 nt
Filed under: Bacillus sp. AY-2011-RS03
Lineage: Bacteria; Bacillati; Bacillota; Bacilli; Caryophanales; Bacillaceae
Description: partial 16S ribosomal RNA
Source: RNAcentral
CUCACCCCAGUCAUGAAUCACAAAGUGGUAAGCGCCCUCCCGAAGGUUAAGCUACCUACUUCUUUUGCAACCCACUCCCAUGGUGUGACGGGCGGUGUGUACAAGGCCCGGGAACGUAUUCACCGUAGCAUUCUGAUCUACGAUUACUAGCGAUUCCGACUUCAUGGAGUCGAGUUGCAGACUCCAAUCCGGACUACGACAUACUUUAUGAGGUCCGCUUGCUCUCGCGAGGUCGCUUCUCUUUGUAUAUGCCAUUGUAGCACGUGUGUAGCCCUGGUCGUAAGGGCCAUGAUGACUUGACGUCAUCCCCACCUUCCUCCAGUUUAUCACUGGCAGUCUCCUUUGAGUUCCCGGCCUAACCGCUGGCAACAAAGGAUAAGGGUUGCGCUCGUUGCGGGACUUAACCCAACAUUUCACAACACGAGCUGACGACAGCCAUGCAGCACCUGUCUCACAGUUCCCGAAGGCACCAAUCCAUCUCUGGAAAGUUCUGUGGAUGUCAAGACCAGGUAAGGUUCUUCGCGUUGCAUCGAAUUAAACCACAUGCUCCACCGCUUGUGCGGGCCCCCGUCAAUUCAUUUGAGUUUUAACCUUGCGGCCGUACUCCCCAGGCGGUCGAUUUAACGCGUUAGCUCCGGAAGCCACGCCUCAAGGGCACAACCUCCAAAUCGACAUCGUUUACGGCGUGGACUACCAGGGUAUCUAAUCCUGUUUGCUCCCCACGCUUUCGCACCUGAGCGUCAGUCUUUGUCCAGGGGGCCGCCUUCGCCACCGGUAUUCCUCCAGAUCUCUACGCAUUUCACCGCUACACCUGGAAUUCUACCCCCCUCUACAAGACUCUAGCCUGCCAGUUUCGAAUGCAGUUCCCAGGUUGAGCCCGGGGAUUUCACAUCCGACUUGACAGACCGCCUGCGUGCGCUUUACGCCCAGUAAUUCCGAUUAACGCUUGCACCCUCCGUAUUACCGCGGCUGCUGGCACGGAGUUAGCCGGUGCUUCUUCUGCGGGUAACGUCAAUCGACAAGGUUAUUAACCUUAACGCCUUCCUCCCCGCUGAAAGUGCUUUACAACCCGAAGGCCUUCUUCACACACGCGGCAUGGCUGCAUCAGGCUUGCGCCCAUUGUGCAAUAUUCCCCACUGCUGCCUCCCGUAGGAGUCUGGACCGUGUCUCAGUUCCAGUGUGGCUGGUCAUCCUCUCAGACCAGCUAGGGAUCGUCGCCUAGGUGAGCCGUUACCCCACCUACUAGCUAAUCCCAUCUGGGCACAUCUGAUGGCAUGAGGCCCGAAGGUCCCCCACUUUGGUCUUGCGACGUUAUGCGGUAUUAGCUACCGUUUCCAGUAGUUAUCCCCCUCCAUCAGCAGUUUCCCAGACAUUACUCACCCGUCCGCCGCUCGUCACCCGAGAGCAAGCUC